AUCUAAGUACCCCGAGGAAAAGAAAUCAACCGAGAUUCCCCCAGUAGCGGCGAGCGAACGGGGAGCAGCCCAGAGCCUGAAUCAGUGUGUGUGUUAGUGGAAGCGUCUGGAAAGGCGCGCGAUACAGGGUGACAGCCCCGUACACAAAAAUGCACAUGCUGUGAGCUCGAUGAGUAGGGCGGGACACGUGGUAUCCUGUCUGAAUAUGGGGGGACCAUCCUCCAAGGCUAAAUACUCCUGACUGACCGAUAGUGAACCAGUACCGUGAGGGAAAGGCGAAAAGAACCCCGGCGAGGGGAGUGAAAAAGAACCUGAAACCGUGUACGUACAAGCAGUGGGAGCCUCUUUUAUGGGGUGACUGCGUACCUUUUGUAUAAUGGGUCAGCGACUUAUAUUCUGUAGCAAGGUUAACCGAAUAGGGGAGCCGAAGGGAAACCGAGUCUUAACUGGGCGUUAAGUUGCAGGGUAUAGACCCGAAACCCGGUGAUCUAGCCAUGGGCAGGUUGAAGGUUGGGUAACACUAACUGGAGGACCGAACCGACUAAUGUUGAAAAAUUAGCGGAUGACUUGUGGCUGGGGGUGAAAGGCCAAUCAAACCGGGAGAUAGCUGGUUCUCCCCGAAAGCU
This 626-nucleotide ribosomal RNA is filed under the name Escherichia coli. Its description in RNAcentral is "partial 23S ribosomal RNA". It matches the Rfam family "Bacterial large subunit ribosomal RNA", at positions 200 to 867 of the family's 2925-position model. Lineage: Bacteria; Pseudomonadati; Pseudomonadota; Gammaproteobacteria; Enterobacterales; Enterobacteriaceae. The record is from RNAcentral.